Long non-coding RNA from Osmia lignaria (orchard mason bee), 6633 nucleotides. RefSeq lists it as uncharacterized. Lineage: Eukaryota; Metazoa; Arthropoda; Insecta; Hymenoptera; Megachilidae. The record is from RefSeq and is a predicted model, not a curated record.
CGGACGAGCGAGCAGCCACGGAACGGGACUGCGAUUGAAAACACCCACGCGAUCUUUCGAAAAUAAUAGUACAUACGCACGCUUAUUAUCAAUAGCGAACCGAAUCAAAGGGUUACGUCUACACGUGACGAAACACCACCUGAAAACAAAAAUCAGCGAUUGUUUAACGACAGCAAAUCAAUCUUCGGUGGUACCAACCACCAUUCGGUCCACUUGAACGAAGCGCUUCUUUCUUGUUCGGUCCACUUCGGUUAAGAUCGUGUCGACCGCAGUGCUUGCCGGUGUCCGGCCUGUGUGUUUUCAAUUCGAGACGGUUCGGAGCGACAGAGACAGAAAGGUGACAUCCUGACGUGUGGUGAAGAAUAAAAGCAAACUGUUGACAGUGAUUAAAAGUGACUUGUGUCGAGGAUCGUUAAAGGAUAUUUGUGUCGUGUGACAAUUUAACCAUUCAUAAAUAAUAAGGGAAGUAAUCUGACGGACGUGCUCCAAAAGAAACGGUUAGUUACAAACUGGCACCACUAGAGUGCGUGUUUUAUGCGUUUCUAUGAAAAUCGACACGGUAUUAAAGCGUCGCGUGGCGAAUGUUACUCGAAAUUUCAUUUGUGCUUCGAUCAGUGUUCGUUUCAGUUAAUAAGUAAUACGUCGCGAUUACUUUCAUCCGCGUUCGGAGUGAUUCUCAGUGUCGUUUCGUCGUAAACUCAACGUGGCUACCGUUAUGUCAGUGCAUUGACCAAUCUUUGAAACUUCAAACCGGUGUAUCAGUCCAACGCCGUUCAAUUUACGAGCUCGAGUUUGAGAAGGGUAUCUAAACUUCAAGAUCAACGACUGAACAUUCUUCGAUGAAGAUAUAAAGGUAAACCAGUGAACAUUUAUGAAAUAGAAAACCGGACGAAUGAAAGUAUCAUGAAUCGUAAAGACUAGACGCUAUCCAGAGUAGCCAUAUUAUACCUCGUGACGUUUACUGCGGUUAAAAAAUCAAGAUCUUGUUUCGCGCGCAAACGGAGCAUUGUGCUGGUACUAAUAUUCUUACGAUUCGCUUACAAUUGAAUACAAGUGUCAGCGUCUGUACCAAUAUCAAGAACAAUAACAAAAUAUCCUGAACACGAAGGGAGGAAGGAAGCUUUAUCCAACCGAGCGUAUUCAUACGUGACCUUCGCCGUACACAAACACAGAAGACGCUUGUCAUCGAAUUAGUUCGCAGCUCUUACAAAAGAGUGUACCCACUGGAUUAUUCUCUCAAGGUGAUAUCAAGAGUUCGCCAUAGAGUUCUAGUCUUGACAUUCGGUUGUACGGUGGCGCAGUGGUGAGACGAGUAAAGCUGCAGUUAGCCAGUGAAAUUCAGCUCGUACGUUAAUCCGCCGUUAAUUCGACUCGGUGUUUCGUGACAUUUCGGUGACGCGUGUGAUUGGUGCCCGUGAACGAACGAUCUUAUCGCAGCAACGGGUGAAAAAGUAUAUACGCGUGUGCAAAAGCUCCUUCCAGUUGUGGAUUACAUCGGAGCACAUCGACGUCGUCGUGUUUACCUCGUGGGAGUGAAAGGAAAUGGUCGCCGCGACCUCGUGAAUUCCGAAACCGGCGUGUCGAUCGAGACAACAGAGAGCGCGUGGCCAAUUACUCGCGCACCGUUACCACCCUCGAUUAAUUGAUUAAUUAACUUCCUAAUUAAUUCGUCGAAUCGUUUAAUCUCGCUUUCACUCGUUACUGCCUGCUAUCAAGAAUUUUUAUCAACGUCUCCAACGGUUGUUCGGUUAAGUAACUUGCAAUUUCCUUCUCGCUAACGGCAAUCGUAAUUACGAUUACAUCAAGCACGUCGCGGCGGUUUAAUACCAGUUUCAAUUAUCGCCGCGAAUAACGCUUCCUCGAGCUCGAUUUUCGACCUCUGCAUAACCUGCUCCUCGUAGAUCCUUUGUCCGAUUUAGCCAGGAUUACGCGCUAGUCCGUGGGGGCAGUAUCUCUGUAAUUGUGCCACGCGUACGGUUAAACGCUUGUCUACUACGCGAAGAACAAUAAACGGUGGUGUUUCACGUGACGAUAGUGCAGAAGCAGCCCACUCGGUCACUUGCAAAAAAGUGACCGGUACGACACACAGUUUUCUUCUGGAAGUGGUACGCAAACGGCCUCAAGAUUCAGCUGGACAUCAUGCCCUGGUUCAUCCUAUUUCUUCUACUGUUAGCCGUGAUGGAGGCCUUCCCUCGGGAGGCCACCUGUUCCCGCCUGCCGGACAUCUACUGGAACUCCACCAAUCCAAUGUAAGUAGACGCUGAUCCAGCAUCAAGUAAUAACCGACCGUAUGACACCGUUCCAUGCUGCUUCAUCGGGGAAUAAGAAUAUAACGAGGAUUAGGCUGUGUAAGUCAUUUUUAAGUUUCAAAGAACUGUAUAAUUAUUAUACAAAUUCGAAUCGACGAGUUUCGCGCGAACACGGUCCGAAGGAUUCACCGAAUGCAGAAGGCGCGAAAUUCAAAACAGAGUCGUAAAACGAAAUGGUGAACGCUGAUCGCGAUAGCGAUUUUACGGGUUUCAGCGAAGGGUAAUCCGUAUCUUUAUUGACUUUUACGCGCAGGAUCGCGAUUUUUCGAAAGAUUCGCUUGAACCGUUCUCAAGGCCAGCUACUUUUAUUACCUGGCCAAAACUCGGAAAACGAGACGCGCAAGUAAUACCGAUAGGUUUGAACGAUUCGCGUCAACUUUCGGAUGGUAUCAACCGUGAAAUUCAGAUCAUCUCAUGAAUAUUUAACGCGUAAUCUGACAGAAUUUAGCACGGAAUUAUUUACCGUCGAAUAUUUUUCCGUCUUAGACUGUCGUUAAAGUAUUGAAAUUAAAGUUUGCUCGUCGAUUUAACCAAGUAUUUUAAAAGGAGCAACGUUACAGGAGGAUUAGGCGAAUAAAUCAGGAUAGAAUUAUACAGGACGUUUAAGGGAUCCACGCGAAGUCGUUGGGCGAAAGGUUUCGUGAACGUUGUCAAAGCGAGCGCGAACGAUUCGUGAACGUUGAUCGAUCGACCGAUCGAUCAAGAAAAUCGAAGCUCGUGGCUCCCCGUAGCUCGACAGAGUUUCUCGUCUCUUCCAUUAACGCCGAACACGAGCUAGUUGCUUGGACUAUGGUGCUCGCAGUAUCUCGAUCGAAGGUAGAUCGAUUUCCGCUUAAUUAUGAUAAAUAAACCCGGCGUGUUCGGUGUUCAUUGACAAAUCGAAUUUUCACACCCACGCAUUGACUCGUUUAAGCGAUCUAAUUAAUUUCGAGCCCAGCAUUUUGGAGCUAAAGUUUGACAGACUCCACGUUUAUUUCAUUAAUUUACUACAGUUCUUAUCUACCGAAGAGAUUUUUAUUCUAAAGAGGUCCAACCGAUUCAACUUUGUAAUUCAAACAGUACGAUAUUUUUUCGAGGUCCAAUAUGGCCGGCGAGGAAUAAGCUCGUCCAACGACAGUCGUAAACGUCCCUGAAAGUUACUUGCAGCAUUCGUCCUCGUUGAACGGCCCGAAAAAUUCCAGCCGAUCGUUAACGAGGAUCCGUGGGCCGCAAUAAUUUCCGAAUAACUAAACAGAGAUCGACGCCGGUCAAUCGUGAUCGGCGCCGUGUAUCGGCGUCCGCGGCAAAAAGCAUCGGAUAUGCGUGCGCGCACGCACGAUCCUUUCCUCGAGGUACUAUACAUACGUAGAUACACGAGUGAGCAUGUACUCGCGAGCGAUGGAGCGCGCGUGCAUACGCGCCCUUGUCGGGGCGUAUGCCCGCCGCGGAUGGCCACUAAAUUAAGGCAAAAGAAAAAGAGAUCGGGAGCCAAACGGGCCGCGGGGUAGCCGGGACGAGGUAGGAGGGGAAGUGAAGGAGUAAGAGCGGAAAGGAACGGGCAACAGAACGAUCUCGAAGAACGAGGGAAGAAAGAAAGAAAAGCGAAGAAGCCUGAUCGAGAGAAAAGGAGAGAAGGAAGGAGCAAUGCGCAUGCAUAGCUCGGGCGACACGCAUCGAUCAAUCAUUCGCUAAUUAUGCCCGCGAUUUCUUUCUUUCGUGAGGCUGAACCGGCAUCGCGAGCGGUCAUCGACCCCGCGCGUCGACGAUGCAACGGCCACGACGGAAACGCUCUCCUCUCCUGAGUCCUCCCGUGAGUCCUCUUCGUGGCUAAGUAAAGCCGUCCUCCAACAGACGGGACGUUAUAGAAGGAAGAGGACGAAGGGAAAAGGAAGAAGAAGAAGAGGGAUAGGGAGUGCAAGAGUAAGAAAGUGGAAGAGCGAUCGGAAGAAAGGCUUGGACGAAGAAAAGAGGAGGACGGUCAGGAAGCGGGCAGCCAGCCGGAUCGGAGGCGUAUUAAAUGAAAUUAAGCAAUUAACCAUUUAACCGAAUUAGCACACCGUAGAGAGCGUGGAUACGCCCGGAAGAACGGCGUCGUCCGUCCGACGAGCCGCGGCGAUCCUUCGAGCGUUGCCUCGUUAAUUAAUUAAGGUCGCCUUCGGAUCCAACCGGCCUGCUGUCUCUCUCCUACUCCUCCUAUCCACCUUAGCCCGUUUUCUUUCCAUCGUCACCGGCCAGGAAAAAAGCUGCCGGCCGUUUGGUAUCCCGGUCAUCUCGGACCGUGCCUAUUUUGCGGAUCGGCCGCUGUUAUGCGUACUCAUCGGUAUACGUUUCUUUGCCACGUUUCGAUCGUGAACCGAGACGAUCAUCUGGGUGAUGCGUUCUUGAUUUAAUUGAGCGAUCCGACCGUGCCGCCACUUGUGCAGCCUUCUUAACAAGAUUCCUCGAACAAUGCGGCUGCUUUUCGGCCACGGUGUUAGGAAUUAAACUGGUGCUUUAGCUUUUUGAUAGAUUUAUAUCGCUUUCUCAUAGUCUCGUUUGUUAUCGUUAGAUAAACGCUUUCACCGCGAAAAUCAUACGGACUAAUGGAAUUUACGAUCCAUCUCGCCCACGUCGAUAACGUUUCGUGGUGCGGUAUCUCCCGAAAUGACCGAGGCACGACAGUAAUGACCGGUUGUAAAGCAAUUAACAGUAGUAAUAUACAUAGCUUCCCGUAGCUACUUCUCGUUAACCUGCCUACUGCAACCUUUCGUCUUCUUCGAAAAGAGAAUUGGCUCAGGUCAAAGUUAAACAAACCACGAGGCAAACGAGGACGGACAAGCAAAAGACGGCUUACGAAGCUGCGCGAUACAAGCGAACGGAUCCUUAGUAAAGGCAACGGGCCGAGGAUGAGAAAUGAUAAUCCUCGAAAAUAAAGACGCGAGAGCGUUCCCAGCACGGCGUAGCUCGGAAAUCGUCACUCCAACGAGUUAUCAUUACUCACCGCUGGGAUCUUAAUUUAUUCCGAAGGGAAUGAGCGCCGAAUCACAUCGUCGACGUCCAUCAAUAUCGUUCGGGCCUUUAAUUUAUCGAGACUUUACACGGAUCCACGGACAUGGAUCGAUAAAUUCAUUCGAACGAGGGUCGCGCGUGUCGACUUCCCCGCGCUACCGAUCCUACCAAUUUCCCCUGUACGCGACUCGCUUAAUCGAUCCGAUCGAUCUACGACGCCGCAUUAAUAUCGACUCCGAGCAUCGGCAAUGAAUGAAUCGCGAGUUCGUGACCGCUAUGAAACACACUCGCGAAUAAUUCACUGCCUACUAGUUAUGAUCGAAGGACUCGUUGCCGAUUGAUCUACAAGCUCGAUGCUCUCGAUCGACAAUACUCAUCAUCGUUGCUUCAAACAUUAUCAGGGAAAUCUUUUCAUGAUAUCUUAAACUAAUUUAGCAAGGUGGUCCAUCUCAUCACUGUUGUAUCGUCGGUCAAAUGAAAAAGAUCGAGGCUGUAUCAAUUGAGGAAUGGCAAAACCUUCGCGCAAAUUUUUCAUUCACUCGUCCAGUCAGCUCCUCGGUGAUUAACGAUGUCUCUCUACUUCGCCCAUCAUCCGCACGUUUGUCCUCUCUUAAUUAAACUGUCUACACCAUCUUUUUACCAUUCCUUGAUUCAUGAGAUUUUCAGCGUGCACUCGAGAAACUCGUUGGAAAGGAUAUUAUCCAUAGAUCUGAGGGGAUCAUGCGAGGGAAAUCGGUAGGAUACAAAAUAACUUUUUUAUUUAGCGCGAGUCUUGCCUUCAAGACGGUUCGGACCAGAGUGUCCUUACAAGCCAGAGAAAAUGCUUUCCCGAAGAAAGGAAUCUGACAUGUUCCGAGCGGAACUUGAGGACUUCCGAGAGGACUUUGUAGAGUGGCCGUUGGAUUGGCAAAACGGUACGAAUUAUUGUUUUAUUACUCCUUGACCCGACGGUUCGGACGCCCAAAAAGUCCACACUGCCUUUUGCCUUUUCCUCCGCUGGGAACUUUGCUGGUCGCCACAGAUCGCUGAAAGGUGUAUAGAGCAUGGUCUAUCAAGGUACACCGGCGGCAGCCGCAACCACGAAAACCUUGUCCCCCCCUGUAUCAUCUGGUUAUUUGCCUAAUCCAGUUUGACAGGCAAGUGACACGAUGUUGUGACGGGGUUAGACGUCGUUCUCUCGUCCCGUUCGUUCGACCGUGAAUCCUAUACGACGCCUUCGAUGCCCGUCUCUUUCUCGCGACACUCGAACACCUCGUCGUCUUCGUCGGUUGGGCCGCACCACCGGUGUAAGUCGAUCUAUUUUCUUAUAAUAGGACAGCCGUGGAGCUUCCUCGUCGUCCUGAGGGCUGAUAGAGAA